AGUGAACGCUGGCGGCAGGCCUAACACAUGCAAGUCGAACGGCAGCACAGCAGUAGCAAUACUGUGGGUGGCGAGUGGCGGACGGUGAGGAAUACAUCGGGAUCUACCUUUUCGUGGGGGAUAACGUAGGGAAACUUACGCUAAUACCGCAUACGCCUACGGGGAAAGCGGCGGACCGCAAGGCGUCGCGCGAUGAGAUGAACCGAUGUCCGAUUAGCUAGUUGGCGGGUAAAGCCCACCAAGGCGACGAUCGGUAGCUGAUCUGAGAGGAUGAUCAGCCACACUGGAACUGAGACACGGUCCAGACUCCUACGGAGGCAGCAGUAAGGAAUAUUGCGCAAUGGACGAAAGUCUGACGCAGCGACGCCGCGUGGGGAUGAAGGUCUUCGGA
Molecule: ribosomal RNA, 391 nt
Filed under: uncultured bacterium
Lineage: Bacteria
Description: bacterial SSU rRNA
Rfam family: Bacterial small subunit ribosomal RNA
Source: RNAcentral